CCUACGGGGGGCAGCAGUGGGGAAUAUUGGGCAAUGGGCGCAAGCCUGACCCAGCAACGCCGCGUGAAGGAAGAAGGCUUUCGGGUUGUAAACUUCUUUUAAGGGGGAAGAGCAGAAGACGGUACCCCUUGAAUAAGCCACGGCUAACUACGUGCCAGCAGCCGCGGUAAUACGUAGGUGGCAAGCGUUGUCCGGAGUUACUGGGUGUAAAGGGCGUGCAGCCGGAGAGACAAGUCAGAUGUGAAAUCCACGGGCUCAACCCGUGAACUGCAUUUGAAACUGUUUCCCUUGAGUGUCGGAGAGGUAAUCGGAAUUCCUUGUGUAGCGAUGAAAUGCGUAGAUAUAAGGAAGAACACCAGUGGCGAAGGCGGAUUACUGGACGAUAACUGACGGUGAGGCGCGAAAGCGUGGGGAGCAAACAGGAUUAGAUACCCCUGUAGUC
This 442-nucleotide ribosomal RNA is filed under the name uncultured bacterium. Its description in RNAcentral is "partial 16S ribosomal RNA". It matches the Rfam family "Bacterial small subunit ribosomal RNA", at positions 338 to 795 of the family's 1533-position model. The record is from RNAcentral.